GUCGAUGAUGAACGUGGCUGCUUGUCCCCAGACAUGUCCACAGGUAGUCAAACAGUGCCCUCCUCCCCAGACAACCAAGAGGACUCGGCUGUCGUCAUGGAGGAGGUGGAGGAGGAGGUGGGGGGAUCUCGUAGACCUCCUGGUGGUUUCCGGCGAUCAGACAACGGAGGACCUCUUCAGCCUCGAUGUCGUCAAGGAGACGGCGGGUGACGCCAGCCUUUCAGACGUUCAGAGUUUAGACGCAGAAACGCCAUGCUCCGAGCGAGUGGACCCAGGCCCGCUGGGGAGUUAAGAGCACUUUUUCACCCACUAUGCAUUAGAAGGCUUUAGUAGCUGGCUUUAGCGCUUGGGCUCAUAAAGCUACAUGCUAACGUUAGCAACACUGGAACUAAACUAUUUUAUUAUAUUAACAAGGGUUUUAUUGAUAUGAAGUUGCCUUUGCUGCAUGCUAACUUGCACAUUCAAACAAAAUAGUUUUGUUGGUUUAUGGUCUGAAGUUCUGUUGAUUCAGUUCACAAUGAAUGUAUGCUAAGGGUUACCUUGAAGGAUUAAUGUAUUGCUUUUUCUGGUCAGAACUGAUUCUUUUUUAACUGUCACCAACAAGCCUCCGUAGUUGGGUACCUUUUUAUGAAGCAUUUGGUGCCUUCACCAUCUUCACCAUUUAAUUACUGAAGGAAACAUGAUUGUAUGUUUAUGGAAUGGAUGGUUACAUCCACGAUCAGUUUUAUGUUUUGUGAGUAUAAAGUUUUAUGUAUGGGGUUUAUUUUGCUGAAAAUUAAGAUGGCGGGAGAGUUUGCGUUUUUAUUUUAUCUGUAAUAACAAAUACAGUAGCCAUAUCUUUAUGUUCAUUCUGCACUUUUGAUGAGAGCAAUGUACCAUUGGGAUAAUUUGUCUGUUUAUAUUCUUCCAUUUAACUAUGACUCGUAGUUAAGUUUAUGUGAUUGUAAAAUAAGAGAAAAAGGGGAAUUCUACUGGAGAAGUAAAAUUGUUUUCAAAAAUAGUCGAGCUCUUAUUGUGGUUUAAAGUGCAACCAUUCUCAAGUCCACUAAAUACGUUUGUUAUCGGAAGCGAUGGUUACCAUGGCAUUUUUUUUUCAGUUUUUACUUUUAAUUAGAGUUGUCUCCGGUACUUGACUUGAAAAAGGUCAAAGCAAUAGAACACAAUUAUAGGUAUCAAUAGGUGUCCGUAUUGGUGAGUCUAUUGAUCAGAAAUUUGGUCAUGAAGACGUGUGAUCUCAGGCGUUACUCAAAUCACUAUUCAUAAACCUAUUUUCUCCUGUGUGCUGCAAUGUAUGUUGAACUACGGGUUAUAUUCAGCAUUCAGUUUUUUUUCCUCAAAACUGCUUUGUCUUUAUAGCCUUCUAUUGGCCUACAGAAUAAACAUUGAAAACA
This is a long non-coding RNA of Gadus morhua (Atlantic cod), 1391 nucleotides long. Lineage: Eukaryota; Metazoa; Chordata; Actinopteri; Gadiformes; Gadidae. The record is from Ensembl.